GGAAUCUUGGACAAUGGGCGCAAGCCUGAUCCAGCGACGCCGCGUGGGUGACGAAGGCCUUCGGGUUGUAAAGCCCUUUCACCGGGGACGAUGAUGACGGUACCCGGAGAAGAAGCACCGGCUAACUCCGUGCCAGCAGCCGCGGUAAGACGGAGGGUGCUAGCGUUGUUCGGAAUCACUGGGCGUAAAGGGCCCGUAGGCGGCGCGAGAAGUCGGGUGUGAAAGCCCGGAGCUCAACUCCGGAAUUGCACUCGAAACUUUCGUGCUGGAGGUCGGAAGAGGAGAGUGGAAUACCCAGUGUAGAGGUGAAAUUCGUAGAUAUUGGGUGGAACACCAGUGGCGAAAGCGGCUCUCUGGUCCGGACCUGACGCUGAGGCGCGAAAGCGUGGGGAGCAAAC
This 398-nucleotide ribosomal RNA is filed under the name uncultured bacterium. RNAcentral describes it as "bacterial SSU rRNA". It matches the Rfam family "Bacterial small subunit ribosomal RNA", at positions 358 to 773 of the family's 1533-position model. The record is from RNAcentral.